RNAcentral lists this ribosomal RNA (497 nucleotides) under uncultured bacterium. RNAcentral describes it as "partial 16S ribosomal RNA". It matches the Rfam family "Bacterial small subunit ribosomal RNA", at positions 28 to 507 of the family's 1533-position model. The record is from RNAcentral.
GAUGAACGCUGGCGGCGUGCCUAAUACAUGCAAGUCGAGCGAACGGACGAGAAGCUUGCUUUUCUGAUGUUAGCGGAGGGCGGGUGAGUAACACGUGGAUCAUCCACCUAUAAGACUGGGAUAACUUCGGGAAACCGGAGCAAAUACCGGAUGAUCUCUUGAACCGCAUGGUUCAAUGGAGAAAGACGGUCUUGCUGUAACUUAUAGAUGGAUCCGCGCUGCUUUGGCUAGUUGGUAAGGUCAAGGCUUACUACGGCGACGAUGCGUGGCCGAGCUGAGGGGGGGAUCGGCCACACUGGAACUGAGACGCGGUCCAUGCGCCUGCGGGAGGCAGCAGUAUGGUAUCUGCUGCAAUGGUCGAAAACCUGACGGAACAACGCCGCGUGAGUGAUAGAGGUCUUCCGUUCGUAAUACUCUGUUACGGGUUAAGAACAGAUUUGUAAUGUACUGUACACAGCGUGACGGUAACGGGUCAGAAAGCCCCGGCUAACUACGUG